Molecule: unclassified non-coding RNA, 119 nt
Filed under: Blastococcus saxobsidens DD2
Lineage: Bacteria; Bacillati; Actinomycetota; Actinomycetes; Geodermatophilales; Geodermatophilaceae
Description: yybP-ykoY
Source: RNAcentral
GGGAUGCCAGGAGGGGAGUAUCCCCCCGCGGCAGUGUCGUCAUCACGAGGUCCCAUGGCCUCCGGUGCUGCUGAUCGCAGGCCUCUCGGCCUGCGGUGGGAGAGACCUCCGGUGCUGAC